This 1419-nucleotide unclassified non-coding RNA is filed under the name Hevea brasiliensis (rubber tree). The record is from RNAcentral. Lineage: Eukaryota; Viridiplantae; Streptophyta; Magnoliopsida; Malpighiales; Euphorbiaceae.
UCAUCCACCUUAACAUUCUCAUCACUGCAACUCUUAUCUUAGCUACAGCCUAAUAUAUAUCAUACCUAUUGCAGAACAGAACACUUCAAUACAGAGUUGCAAAAAAAUUAAGUCACCAAAAUCACAAAUGAGCAACAAGAGACUCCAGUCCGCUGUAUAAGUGUUGCUCUUGCACAACUCGUCACAUAACAAGCAAAUAGCACCAUAAAACCAAAACAGAAACAUAAAAUUUGGAAUCACAAAUGAUUAACAAUGUACCAAACCAUUUGAAACCAAAGAGAAAAUUCCAUAGAGACUUAUUUAUACACAAUUAAUACCCAUCAAAAUAGCAGAACACAACUUUAAAAUCAACCCCAGUUCCAAUGCAGAAUUAUAGGACAGACAUGAAACGUUUCACAUCGGAUACACAAAAAUGAAAUUGAAAUCCUAAAACAACCAACUACAUUACAAAUUUAAAUAUAUUGCAAAUGAGCAACCAAAAUACAUUCAACCUUUUUAAAUUUAAUACUGAUCACAAAGCCCAUCAAAAGUGAGUAAAAUAGAAAAUUUAAUUUGAAGUCAAGAAUUUCAUAUUUAAAUACAACUCCAAAACACAAUCCAAGUUAGCAAAUUAAGAGCAGCCUUCUUCUCUUGUUGAGACUCCUAGGCUCCUCGUGCCUCUCCUCUGCCAACUCAAACAUACACACAAAGCCCCAAUAUAGAUAUUUUAAUUUCCCAGGGGAAAAAAUAAAUCAAAUUAAUACUGAAAUUGAAACAAUCAUAUCAACUAUCAAACAUAUUCAAUUUCACGAACAUUAAAUUGCAUUAAAAUCCAAAUAUCAUCAAGGAAUUAAACAUCAAAGUACUUCUCAAAAAUUCACAAAAAAAGCACAAUUACAUCACCAUAGGAAUCAUGUUAAGCUUUCUGUUCUUCUUGAGACUCCAGUGGAAUUCCAAGCUCCUGAGGCGCCGCUCCCUCUUCAUUCCCUUUCUUUUCCUUCUUCUUCCUAGGCGGUACUGGCACAGCAAUAAAAGCCUUGGUCUUGCUAAUGGGUCUGCUCUUUUCAAGCUGGACAAGGUCGCCAACCUUGAACUGGUUCUCAGGGUCAUGAGCCUGAAACUUCUUCUUCUUCCUCACCCGUCUCUUGUACUUGGGAUGCGGGGCCAACCGGGUUACCUCAACAGACACCGUCUUGUCAUUGGUUGCACAAACCACUCUGCCUUGCAUUGACCUCAUGGCUCUGAUUGGAGGGAGAAAAGUGAAGGGCUUAGGAGGUUGAAGGGACAGAGAGGAAGUGGGUUCUGAGAAGUGAGAGAGAGGGGUUGUGCCAUUGAGGAAAGGGGUGGAGAGAGUGAGCGAAUUGAGUGAGGAUGUGAGGUACAUUGUUUUCCCAGUGAGAUUGGGACCUGGCGAUAACGGAUGAGUUAUCUACUCAUCUU